AGCGCAGGCGGACCGGCAAGUUGGAAGUGAAAACUAUGGGCUCAACCCACUAAAUUGCUUUCAAAACUGCUGGCCUUGAGUAGUGCAGAGGUAGGUGGAAUUCCCGGUGUAGCGGUGGAAUGCGUAGAUAUCGGGAGGAACACCAGUGGCGAAGGCGACCUACUGGGCACCAACUGACGCUGAGGCUCGAAAGCAUGGGUAGCAAACA
Molecule: ribosomal RNA, 208 nt
Filed under: uncultured bacterium
Lineage: Bacteria
Description: partial 16S ribosomal RNA
Rfam family: Bacterial small subunit ribosomal RNA
Source: RNAcentral